AACGCGAAGAACCUUACCAGCCCUUGACAUCCCGGUCGCGGACUCCAGAGACGGAGUUCUUCAGUUCGGCUGGACCGGAGACAGGUGCUGCAUGGCUGUCGUCAGCUCGUGUCGUGAGAUGUUGGGUUAAGUCCCGCAACGAGCGCAACCCCCGUCCUUAGUUGCUACCAUUCAGUUGAGCACUCUAAGGAGACUGCCGGUGAUAAGCCGCGAGGAAGGUGGGGAUGACGUCAAGUCCUCAUGGCCCUUACGGGCUGGGCUACACACGUGCUACAAUGGCGGUGACAAUGGGACGCGAAGGGGCAACCCCUAGCAAAUCUCAAAAAGCCGUCUCAGUUCGGAUUGGGCUCUGCAACUCGAGCCCAUGAAGUUGGAAUCGCUAGUAAUCGUGGAUCAGCACGCCACGGUGAAUACGUUCCCGGGCCUUGUA
This 430-nucleotide ribosomal RNA is filed under the name uncultured Alphaproteobacteria bacterium. RNAcentral's name for it is "bacterial SSU rRNA". It matches the Rfam family "Bacterial small subunit ribosomal RNA", at positions 958 to 1385 of the family's 1533-position model. Lineage: Bacteria; Pseudomonadati; Pseudomonadota; Alphaproteobacteria. The record is from RNAcentral.